ACUGCUUUUGUACGGAACGAAAAGGCUCUGGCUAAUACCUGGGGCUCAUGACGGUACCGUAAGAAUAAGCACCGGCUAACUACGUGCCAGCAGCCGCGGUAAUACGUAGGGUGUGAGCGUUAAUCGGAAUUACUGGGGGUAAAGCGUGCGCAGGCGGUUAUGUAAGAC
This 168-nucleotide ribosomal RNA is filed under the name uncultured beta proteobacterium. RNAcentral describes it as "partial 16S ribosomal RNA". It matches the Rfam family "Bacterial small subunit ribosomal RNA", at positions 429 to 589 of the family's 1533-position model. Lineage: Bacteria; Pseudomonadati; Pseudomonadota; Betaproteobacteria. The record is from RNAcentral.